RNAcentral lists this unclassified non-coding RNA (320 nucleotides) under Hevea brasiliensis (rubber tree). Lineage: Eukaryota; Viridiplantae; Streptophyta; Magnoliopsida; Malpighiales; Euphorbiaceae. The record is from RNAcentral.
CAUUUGUUUCCAGGAACCUUCUUGCAAGCUUGCUCAAGUCUGUGUACAGUUGUGAAUCAGAUCGACUUCCAAUUCAGAAACAAAGAAAUGCAAACAGAGGAAGGUGCUUUAGUUAACGAUAUCUGGAGCUGCACUCCCCCCUCAUAACAAGAAAUGGGUGAUUGCAACACUGCCUUAAUCUAAGUAAAGUAAUACCUCAACAAUAGAUGCAUAGUUGUGAAGAACCUUCCCUAGUGCUACAAACUGGUCAAACUGGACCUGUUUAUGUUGCAUAAACAAUUGUAAUAUGCGUUAUUGAUACAAUUGACUGUAUAUCAAAG